UGAUGGCGGCCGUGACAUUGGACGAGUCCGGGGGCGGCCUCCAGACGCCCGGGGGAGCGCUCAGCCUCGUCUGCAAGGCCUCCGGGUUCACCUUCAGCAGUUACGCCAUGAACUGGGUGCGACAGGCGCCCGGCAAGGGGCUGGAGUGGGUCGCUGGUAUUGGCAGCACUGGUAGUAGCACAGGAUAUGGGCCGGCGGUGCAGGGCCGUGCCACCAUCUCGAGGGACAACGGGCAGAGCACAGUGAGGCUGCAGCUGAACAACCUCAGGGCUGAGGACACCGGCACCUACUACUGCGCCAAAGCUGCUGGUGGUUGUACUUACGGUUAUAGUUGUGCUGCUGGUGGUGUUGGUCAGCACUCUGGUUGGAUCGUCGCCACUUCUCUUUCCAUGUCUCAGGCCCAGCCACGUGUGGGGACCCAGCUCUGA
Molecule: non-coding RNA, 428 nt
Organism: Gallus gallus (chicken)
Lineage: Eukaryota; Metazoa; Chordata; Aves; Galliformes; Phasianidae
Source: the annotation of a RefSeq genome assembly